GCUUGUGAUUCUUCUCUCCCAUCUUACCAGCAGACGGAGUUCUUGACAUAGGUCUCCUUCUUGGUUCGGGUUGAGGGGGAGUCAACGUUUCUAUGGUCUCCUGAGGAAAAGGGCUGAGACUUCGUCCUGCCGUUACAGAACUGAAAUCACUCAGGGGCCUUUGGGGCUGCAAUAAAGUAAGGAAAAUAAGAGUAGGCACUUAUGUUCAGAUGUUUCAGAACGGGCACAACCUCACCUUAUAGAUAGAGAUGGUCGAUCUGUAGGAUUGCUCCAUUCCCUCCAAGUUUUCGACGGGGUCCUGGCAGUACUUUCACACAACGAAUGGAAACGUCGAGAAGAUAAAAAGUCCUGAGACACCCAGGAAUCCACUUCUGUGACCUAGGCUGGAAAAGGAGGAGUGUCCUUUCUAGAAUGGCAGGAUACAGGAAAGAAGUGUGCGCUCAAUUUGAAAGGAAGAAAAUGCUAUUCGGAGAGUUUAAUAAUUCACCAUUCAGGAUGUAAGAACUUGAGCCUUAAGUGUCACCAGAUACCAGGUAGGGAGGAAUCCUGUGAUAGUCGCAAAGGUCAUGUGACUUUCACCUUGAAUUAUUUAUUGCUAGUCUUGCUAUAUACCUCUUCCUGCAGCUCUGCAAAGUCGUCAAGCUGGUUAUCCUCUUGUAUGGGAUAAUUAUGUUAGGACGGAGUGUCAUGGGCAAACUCUGAAGUGGGCGAAGUGUAUUCUGUGGGUCACAGGUGGUUCCUUGUGGUCCAAGAAUGAUAGAUUUCUGCCACAAAAAGGUCUCCCUCUCACCCAACUGCCACUGCUCUGUCUGCAGAGGGAGAGAAGAGGCAGCAUUUGCUGGGAGUAAUCCUUUCUCACACUGCCAUCCCCUUUCUUUUUGUGUCAUCCCUUAAUUGAAUUGUGAGCUUGAAAGCAAGGAACUUUCCCUUGCAAAGUGCCAGGUGCAGUAAAACAGUGCUACAUUAAGACGCAGAGAAAGAAGAGGAAGAAGAGGAAGGACAAGGAGAAGAUGAUGCAGCAGCAGUAUAACAACAAACAAAAAGAAGUCAUUCCCAAAUGAUCUCUGACAUGCAUGGAGGCACUUUUGCCACAUUUUUUGGUUCCUUGAGCUAUUUUAGGAUAUAGAAUCACCCGAGACCAACUACUGGUUUCCCCAGUCAGAUUUACCUAUAAAUUUUAAAAUCACC
This is a long non-coding RNA of Anolis carolinensis (green anole), 1188 nucleotides long. RefSeq lists it as uncharacterized. The transcript has 2 exons. The record is from RefSeq and is a predicted model, not a curated record. Lineage: Eukaryota; Metazoa; Chordata; Lepidosauria; Squamata; Anolidae.